GAAAUCAAAGAAAACCAAAAAAAUUUCAAAAAAUCCAGAAAAGAAACCCAGCAUGAGAAAUGCAGCGUGAGUUCAGCAAUGAUUGUAUGUGAAAAAAUGGAGGAAGAGCAUUGUUCAGCCCGGAAAUCCACUUCCUUGAACGGUCCUCUGUACAUUCAAUGCCAAGAUGCAACUUAAAAGGAGCAGACUCUGUCUCUUGUAUGAGAUUUAUUAGUAAAAUGAAUAUUUCUGCUUGUGUAGUGUGACAGCACUUUCCUUAUCAACAGAACAAAUACUGCACAGGCAACAACCAGGCAAACUCCCCACACCUCGUCCUACCAAAAGGCUACAGUUUAGACAUGGAGGGAGGACAGUUACGUAGUGAAAGGCUAGUCCUUUCUCCAUGCCUGUGGAGAUGAAAUAUUUGCAUGAUAAAAAAGGGUCCCCUGGGACAAAGAAAAUCCCAGUGCAUCAGUAUCUUGUGAGAUUACCACUGGAACACAUUGCCAUCCAUGAGUUUGAGUCCUUGCCUGAGACAAGGCAAAGUGUAGCAGCGCAUCUGUGGAUUCUUAAACUCUCACAAAAUUCACAGCAGGCAGGCACACCCACCCACCCACUGCUGGACUGGUUUAAUAUGACUCAAGGGCCCUUAUUGGAAGGGCAGAAUGGUUUUCAAUUGCAGUCGCUCAAUCGAGUUAGCUUAGCAUGCUUGAAAAGCUCCCUCAGGACAUCGGCUAACAUGUAUGAAGCCAUGCUUUAGCCUAGGAGAAAGGUUAGGUUCAUUUGGCUAACCCCGCAGAACCACACCUGGGGGAUGGGGAGCAGUAUAAUUCAUUCCAUUUCACGUCCAUAUAAAUGGCAAAGAAUAGGAGUAUAGCUUCUAUCCCUGGGGAAGCCUGCUGAGCACUCUGAUGCUGUCAGGGCAGGGUGUGUGUGGGGACCCUGAGAAGCAUUCAAUCCCCAUUGUAAGAACAGAAUCUCUGAUAUGGGGAUUAUUAUGGGGCAGUCAGAGGGGCUCAAUGCACCUGCAGUCUCUCAUCCAUGACCACCCAAUUAUAGUCAUUCUCCCCCCCUCACCCCCCAUACCUGUCCACCUCCAUUCAUGUCUCUCGGCUUCAGUAAUGUCAGCCUUUCGCUGGGCUGUUGGACUUUCUGUUGUUUGUCAGACCAGCCAACUGCAGGACAUUGACUGGAUGAGAGCACCACCUCCAAAGCAUCAAAAGGUGGGCGGUGGAAGGAGAAGGCAGAUUUGCAGUCAGAGCUCUCUGAUAUGCAGAGACACCUGUAAGGCAUAAGGAGAGAAGCUGGGGAUGUUUGGCACCGACACUCUCCAGCCUUUUGUCUGGUGAAUACUGAAACAGUGUUAGCACAAUUAUGUUAUCAGCCAUUUAUUUUCAGUAGCCUGAUAGAUGGAAAUUCAGUUACAGUUGAUGACCUGACAGUAUGAAAAACUAAAUCAAUUACUGUAGGGUUGUUGUCUGGGCAUAUAACUUUUGCAGUUUAGUUUGAUCUAUUUUUUUUUAAGAGUGAAAAUUGAAUUGCUAUACAAAUUUAAAACAGUAUUAAUGAUUGAUGUCUGAAUUGUAGUACCCCAGAGCGUAAGACAACAGAGUGUGAUAAUGAAGGCUAGAAAAACAUUCAAAGACAGACUGUCUUUUCCAUUAAAGGAUGAAGAGUGGAAUUUCUAAUGCCAGCACACAAAAUAUUCAGUGUAAUUUGGAUUAGGUUUUUGUAUCUCUUAACUCAAAUGUUUCUCUUUCUGCUCUUUGUUCUGGCAAUACGGUAAUUUUUUGACAGCUGCUAACAUUAAUGCUCAUUUGUAUUGUGUAUUGUCUGUAAAUCUGUAUGUUGUUUUAAAGCUAUUUCCUGAAUAACACUUUUCUGUAAUAAUUGUAUUGCAAACUAGAUGCGCUAUGCUGCCUUUGUUUUUCCUUAAUAGUAAUUUAAAAUGUGCAAGAAGAAAUGUGGUAUCUCUAAACUAGGGCUUGGGCUAACAUCCACUCCCAUUGAUGCCAACAGGUUUUGGAUCAGACCGUUAGGACUUUAGAUGAGAGAAGGUUCUAUUUCUUUCUUCCUAGGGAAAGUUGCUGGAUGGAGCAGGAAUGCCUUAAAAGUUUUUUGGUUUUUGUUUCCACAUCAGUUUUUCUUGAAUCUCUUUCAUUGCCAUAAAGGCUUAUAGAAUGGCUCAAUAGAUAAACAUUUGGAUUACCAUCUAUAAAAGAAAUUUAGGGUCUUGGAACAUCUAAGCAUUGCUCUCAACAUCAAGGCAAAGGGAAGGGAAGGAGGCAGAAGCAGAUUCCAUGCUUACCUAUGCUGAGCAUUCCAUUUAGAGCAUUGUUGCAGAUUUGGAAGAAGGUUCCAUCUGUGAAUGUGAGCUGAUGACCUUCCAAUGACUGAAACUCAGCUAACUCUGCCUCAGCAGCACUGCUGAUAAAUCGUUCUUCAAUACCUUACUAAAAUCUAUUUUAUCAAAGUGACAGGGACAUUUUAAGUAGAUAUAAUGUAAUUACCUGGGACCACGUGGCACUGGAGUUGCCAAUUUUGAUUGGACGUACUCCUGGAGGUUUCAUCACAUGACAAUUUUUAAUUAAAGAUUAUUUUUUAAUUUCUGGAAACCAGGGCAGUCCUGGAGCGUUGGCAACCUAUGUAGCACCAUCAAUUUUUAACGAGAAAUGCCACAUGGAUUUUAGUGGGGAGUUCUGUUGGGAGGGGGAAUAAUCAAUGGCAGAGUAUGGCCACUGAACUGGACGAUUAUCAAGAUACUAUAGCUAACAGUGGAUUUCCUGUGAAAACUAAUGGCAUUUUAAUGGCCACAGGUUAUCAGGACCUUGAUUAUAGCCACUAUUAAAGCAAUGGCAUUCGCGAGUACUGUAAUGCUUGUGAUGCUGAGACAUGAAACCUGUGUAAUUCUUUGCAGCUAUUUAGAAUUGCAAGGUUUUUAGCCAAAAUAAUAAUAAUAAUAAUAAUAAGAGAGAGAGGUUUUUUUCUUAUAUUCUGGCAAAAUUCCAGAGAGCUGAUUAUGUUCUACUGACCUACACAGUAUCCCUCCAUAUUCUGUUGAAUGUGUUAUUCUUCUCAUUCUGUUUGGAAUGGUUGUGUAAGGUUGCUGUCUCCUCCUAAAUAGCUGCCAGCUUCCCACCCAGAGGUGGAUGCACUUCACUGGUGGGUGAAUGGAUCCCUGUAUGUUUAGAUGGCAAGCCCUGUAAAUCAGUAAAGCCCUGGUCUUACAAAAGUUGUCCUCCAAGCCAGACACAUGCCUGUGCUGAGUCCCAAUUUUAUAAUAUUACAUCUUACUUCCCUUGGGUCUCAGUGCCAGAGAGCUUUUUAUUUAUUUAUUUUUGGCAGGGGAAGGAAGAGAAGGUGCUGUGUAAGUGUCACUCAGUAUCACUCUUCUUUCAUUGUAGAUGCCAAUGUGGUCAGAGCUGACUAUCAUCCUACUUUGUGGCCCUGGACCCUCCCCAACCAAAAGGCCCUCCUGCACCCACCCAGACAACAAAGUGAGUUCAGCUCAGGCAGGUUUUCUAUCUACAGCUGAUACCGACACUGUAGGGAAUGCUAAGAAGGGGUUAGUAAACAGGUCUUGCAGGUCACAAUUUUUGAAAACAUUGACAUCCCUCAUGCACAUGACAACAUUCUGUCUUGGGAUUUAUACUGCUGCCUGCCAUGAGAGCGUCUGAGUGCUUUCCAUAUAAACUCAAAUGCAAUAGGGAAGUCCCUAAUGGACUUCAUGGAGGCUCUGGCUCUUCUGUGUGUUUGGUGCAUAACCUCUUGUUGGGUGGGGUUGUUUUGGUUUUAGGUUGGUUUCAGGGUUUUGGUUUUUACAGAUGGGGAAGCAUUUGGGUAGAUGGAGAAGUUAGUGUUGUGCCAUUCUGACUGCCGUGCAAUCAGCACUGCAUGCCAUAAACACGGGGAACUUGAGAUUUGUAUCCAACACCCUGGAAGGGUCUGAAUUUGCUUUCCUGUGCUUCCCCCAGAAGAGAAAGAAGCCCUGUCUGUAAAUUCUGUUUCUCUGCAGGUGUUUGGGGGGAAGGUGUAAUAUCUUGUGCGUUAAUAUCAGUGCACUUGCUGGGUCUCAGCCAGGCCCACUCUUUGCAGAAUCCUUGGUUCCUCUCUGCCCUUCCCUUGAGCACAGUGGUAAGAGGACAGGGCACUGGGAGUCUCUCUCCAUGCUGAGGCACUCAGCACUGUGGCAGAAGAGGAGGAGGUCUCUGUUCCAGCUUUCGGGGUUGUGAGGGUGGCUCUAGGCCCUCCAGUAAUGCUGAUCCCUAGGACUUGCCACGCGAAGGAAAGCCAUUUGACAGUGCAGGACUCUUGGUGCCGUUGCCCCUGUACUUCCCCCUACAGUGUCCCUUUCUUGGGGAGGAACUCAGCAGAGGUUCUUUUUCAGAUCUAGAGGAGCUACUUGAGUUCCUGGUCCGGGCCGCCAGAGUUGGGAUGGGCUUUGAGGCUACUCUGAGCAGCUUACAGAACAAGGGAGCUGCAGCUUUCCAGGUGUCAUGUUCCCCUAGCCUGCAGCAGGGUUCUAAGCCUGGAGCAGUUUCUUGCAGAGUUGCUUUCUGUGCCAUCUGUUCUUUAGCUCUUACACUCUGCAGCCAUGAGGGGAGGGGGGGAAGAGGGGCAUCCCCAUCAGCUUCCAGAUGGGGAGUCAGGAGCUGCAACUCAGGGAGGAGAGAAGGAUUCCAGGCCUGGAGGAAGUCCUGAGAACAGCCUGGGUACGAGCCUGCUUUCUAGGAAGAGGAUCUGGGUGUAAGCGUCUAAGCUACAGAGAUCCCUCCCUCAGAUAGUCCAGACUAGCUCCAGCUCUUCAGCAUAGCAGAGACGGGAUCUCCUGUUACUCAGGGUACAGUGAAAACACAGACUCUUCAGAGUGAAGGAACUAAAACCAACAAUUCCAAACAGUUCCCCGGCCUCUUGGGAAGCAGCAUAGACAGGAAAGAGAAUUUCUCUCAGCUCCAGAAGCAGCCUGGAAUCACACUGGCUCUUUCCCUUUCUGGUGUGCAUUAGCAGAGCUGCAUUACCUCUCUCCCUGCAGGGAUCCAAGCCAGACUUAACCCCAUUACAGAAGGAAAAAGGAUGCAAAGUGGUUCUGCAGAUACCCUACCCAGGCUUCCCACUGUCACUCAGCAAGAGCUUCGCAUGAGAAAGCAAAAUAUGAUCUCCAUGGAAACCCAGACACCACCAACAGCAAAUAUCAGCCAGACAUCCUUGAAGAGGCAGUUCAAUGCCACUGGAAGAAGACUAUCUAAGGAGGAAGCAACAUACAUCCACCCUCCUUGUGUAGCCAUUGAGGAUUGUAUUUAACAAUUAAUAAAACUCUGGGACUCUG
This is a long non-coding RNA of Gopherus evgoodei (Goodes thornscrub tortoise), 5305 nucleotides long. RefSeq lists it as uncharacterized. The record is from RefSeq and is a predicted model, not a curated record. NCBI's taxonomy places the organism in Eukaryota, Metazoa, Chordata, Testudines, Testudinidae. The transcript is spliced from 2 exons.